RNAcentral lists this unclassified non-coding RNA (213 nucleotides) under Hevea brasiliensis (rubber tree). The record is from RNAcentral. Lineage: Eukaryota; Viridiplantae; Streptophyta; Magnoliopsida; Malpighiales; Euphorbiaceae.
GCAAAUCAGACUUAAAAGAACCCAUGUUAUCAGAAGCAAAAAUCACAAAAAAGCUCUAAGGUCCGUUAGGGUUUUUUAACCGCAAAUAAAUUGUGGGGCUUAAUGAAAAGAGACAACGGGAGAAAACAUACAAAUAUCUAUCUGUUUAGUCCAAGACUAAUAAUUAUAAGCAUGAAUAAUAAAUAUAUGAACAAAGAAAUCGAAAAAGAAAAA